GAGAAGGUAUGACAAGCUGACAGGAAGGAGAAUGAGGGUGUCUUUUUUUCCAAACCUUCAGGUAUCCCAGUUGAUCCUACUUAACAUUUUUUUCCUGUGCGGAUUUUAUGCACCGAUGGCAAGCAAUGUGUAAGGAAGCAGGAAAUUUCGUUUCUGUUUGGGCUUGGCCGGGACCCCUGGGCAGCCAGCUUGUUGUUUUAUUUUAAGAAAGCAGCUGUAUUUUAGCUGGGGAGUAUGUUUUGCAGGGAGAUUUUUCAAGUGCCAUCGUCCAGACUGGUUUAGUCCAGAGUGAAAGCAGGAGGGAGCUAGAUGACUCAAAAGACCAAACCCCGUCUCCCGCACAAUCUGAACUGUGAACGCCACGGGGUGACCAGCCCCCAAGACAUCUUUGGCCCCUCGACGAGGGCGCUGAGACCUGGAACCUCGGCGUGUCGCUGGGAUUCCGGACUGAUCAGGUUACCGGGGAAAGCCACACAGGUCCGGGGCUGCUGCAGCCUCUGAAGGAUUCCUCCUCCCUCAGAAAGCUCUCGGCUUGAGCCCGGAAAGAACACUACCACAUUUUUCUUGGCUUUUUAUAGGGUGUUGAUCCAAGGAUCUGUUUUUACAUUUGAAUGCAGCAGUCAACUGGAGCGUAAUAGAUUGCAGACCUUUGUGAGAAAUCACUGUGAAGGCUUCGGCAGGGAACUGUGGGCUGCUGCGGAGAACUGCACUGUCAGCAGGUUAGGAACUGGGCACUUGUCCAUGUUUUCCUUAUUUUUAAAGGAGUCAUUGACCUUCCACAGGCCUGUAUCAAAAUGGGGCGAACAAAAUGCUGCCAGGCACGGCAGGACUAGAAGAGAGCUCUUUCAGGGGCUGCAAAGGGCCUCGUUUGGUCUAUUUACUGUCAUGGAAAUUCUGAGUGUGACUUAGAGGCCUUCCUGGCUCUGAGCCAGGUGGAAAGGUUUGGAAAGAAAAAAAAAAAAAAAAAAAAAGCCGAGGCUCCACUGGGGAGGGAGCAGGGUGGGAAAACAGCUGCCCUGGCACAGCCACCCGGGGGUGCGAGAGCCCCAGUGCCUAUUGUGCAAAGGCACGUUCAGAAGUCCCUGCAAAUUCGGGGGAACCCGGACCGCCAGUAUCGCUGCUCCAGGUGGCCAGGCCUGCAAGGCAUGCCGGGAACGUGCUCAAAGUUGUUCUUCCCCUGUUGCCCACCCAACAUGCCAUUCGUCCUUUUAUUCCUUCCUUCAUUCCGCAAACAGUCCUUCAGAGCCUACUGUGUUUGGGACACCGAGAAAAUAGGGCUGACAAUCUCCGCCCGCUAUUCUGUGAGAAGACCUUCUAGAAAAAAAAAAAAAAAAAAAAAAAAAACCAUUAUGGCAAGAAACCGGACCGGAGCUGCUAUCCAUGGGAGGACUGGGAAGAGACCUGCCUCGGACAUCCUCCACAUCUGCCAUCUCCAGGGGACCUCCAUUCAUUUCAGCAGUCACCACAGGAAUCCCUACUAACCCUGUCCUGAGCAGAACUUCCUCCCUCCAGAUAUAGGCCUCUGGGAUUGAGGAGACUCCCUGGGACCUAGAAAGUACGUCUGUUCCUCCCAAGAAUUCUUCACCAACCACGGCACACUUCUACCCAUGACCGAAUACCGUAACUCACCCGCUCCAGGCAUGUGCCAAGGUUCUCAAAGCAGCGUCUUUCCCAUCUCACCAUUUGUGCCUACCUUAGCUGUUUGGCCAGUUACCCAUUUGGAUUUGGCUCUGCUUUGGGUUCACUCUUUUGGAUUUGAAAUGAACGAAUUGGCCUGCAGACUGAUACGUGAUUGAAACUCAGCUUUGAGGGACAACUGACCCAGCUUGGCUUUGAAAGCCUGAUCUUUUCCUACAACUUUUGGUGAAUAGUGCUCCCACCUUGCUCCCCCCGCCAGCCCAGCCCUUCUCUUCCCCACCUCCCUUUCCCAAGCCCAGACCAGGGGCGGGGUAGAAGGGGUGGCAAGAUUAGACAGUCUUCCGACAGACUCUCUCAGGAACACCUCAUGUCUGAUGUAGGUAAACUACUAGCUGAGAACUAUCUGGUCUCAAAUGUAGAUGGCUUUGGAUUCAGCACAACCUCAUUGCCUAAAGAUGUAAUUAAUGCUAUUUAAGGAGACAUGCUACUCGGGCCCUUGGUUGUGAAACCUUCUGCUCCAGGGUAAAAUGAUCGAUGACUUCCUACUAAAAUUUCCUGUGGUCUUUA
Neofelis nebulosa (Clouded leopard) is the source of this 2205-nucleotide long non-coding RNA. RefSeq lists it as uncharacterized. The record is from RefSeq and is a predicted model, not a curated record. Lineage: Eukaryota; Metazoa; Chordata; Mammalia; Carnivora; Felidae. The transcript is spliced from 2 exons.